UACGGAGGGAGCUAGCGUUGUUCGGAAUUACUGGGCGUAAAGCGCACGUAGGCGGCUUUGUAAGUUAGAGGUGAAAGCCCGGGGCUCAACUCCGGAACUGCCUUUAAGACUGCAUCGCUUGAAUCCGGGAGAGGUGAGUGGAAUUCCGAGUGUAGAGGUGAAAUUCGUAGAUAUUCGGAAGAACACCAGUGGCGAAGGCGGCUCACUGGACCGGUAUUGACGCUGAGGUGCGAAAGCGUGGGGAGCAAACGGG
Molecule: ribosomal RNA, 253 nt
Filed under: uncultured bacterium
Lineage: Bacteria
Description: partial 16S ribosomal RNA
Rfam family: Bacterial small subunit ribosomal RNA
Source: RNAcentral